Molecule: long non-coding RNA, 566 nt
Organism: Daphnia carinata
Lineage: Eukaryota; Metazoa; Arthropoda; Branchiopoda; Diplostraca; Daphniidae
Exons: 4
Source: RefSeq, a predicted model, not a curated record
UAGUGCUGCACUAAAAGAAUUGUUAGUAAUAAGUCCAUGCAGCGAAGGAAUUGAACAAUUGUGGGACUGUAUUUGGGCCGAAAAUGGGUGUGGUAUGGAAACCGAGAUAUGGCAUGAGUUCAACAUAAAACAUGAAUUAGAAUUUUAGUGGGGGAUCAAGUCAAGUCUGGAAGUGUUACAGGAUGGAAGAGUGAGCCUACAGUUGAAAAACACUGAAAGUGCAUUACCAUUAAGUUUUGUCACAGCUAGAGCCUCAAAUAAUUCUGCUGCUCUGGCUAAAGAACAACUUGUCCUUUACGUUCAGAGUGUUGGUGAAGCUGGGUACUUAAAUGGCCCUAAAGAUGUUUCUUUUCGCUGGCAUUGCAGCGAUGAACAUCAUACAUGGAUUUUUUAGGAAAGGAUUUUCAACAUACUGGGAACACAACUAUCAACAAUGCAACAUUCUAGGGGUGCUAUUUUAUCAUUCAAGAGCCUUAUACAAUGAUUUUCAUCUGCAAUUUGUAUGGCCUUUCCCAAGCUUCUGCCAGAAGUUGAAUCUAUAAGUCAUGUAAGUCACAUGAGCAACA